AGAGUUUGAUCCUGGCUCAGGACGAACGCUGGCGGCGUGCUUCAUACAUGCAAGUCGAACGAGGUCCAGCCGGUGGUAACACCGGCGAAGACCGAGUGGCGAACGGGUGCGUAACACGUGAGCAACCUGCCCCGAAGAUCGGGAUAACAGCGGGAAACCGCUGCUAAUACCGGAUGCCCCCACCGGGUCGCAUGGCCUGG
This 200-nucleotide ribosomal RNA is filed under the name uncultured bacterium. Its description in RNAcentral is "partial 16S ribosomal RNA". It matches the Rfam family "Bacterial small subunit ribosomal RNA", at positions 8 to 198 of the family's 1533-position model. The record is from RNAcentral.